GACGAACGCUGGCGGCGUGCUUAACACAUGCAAGUCGAACGGAAAGGCCCUGCUUUUGUGGGGUGCUCGAGUGGCGAACGGGUGAGUAACACGUGAGUAACCUGCCCUUGACUUUGGGAUAACUUCAGGAAACUGGGGCUAAUACCGGAUAGGAGCUCCUGCUGCCUGGUGGGGGUUGGAAAUUUUCGGCGGUUGGGGAUGGACUCGCGGCUUAUCAGCUGGUUGGUGGGGUAGUGGCUUACCAAGGCUUUGACGGGUAGCCGGCCUGAGAGGGUGACCGGCCACAUUGGGACUGAGAGACGGCCCAGACUCCUACGGGAGGCAGCAGUGGGGAAUAUUGCACAAUGGGCGGAAGCCUGAUGCAGCAACGCCGCGUGCGGGAUGACGGCCUUCGGGGUGUAAACCGCUUUCGCCUGUGACGAAGCGUGAGUGACGGUAAUGGGUAAAGAAGCACCGGCUAACUACGUG
RNAcentral lists this ribosomal RNA (468 nucleotides) under uncultured bacterium. RNAcentral describes it as "partial 16S ribosomal RNA". It matches the Rfam family "Bacterial small subunit ribosomal RNA", at positions 28 to 507 of the family's 1533-position model. The record is from RNAcentral.